UACGGAGGGUGCUAGCGUUGUUCGAAAUCAUUGGGCGUAAAGCGCACGUAGGUGGUGGUUUAAGUCGACUGUGAAAGCCCUUGGCUUAACCAAGGAAGGUCAGUCGAAACUGGAUCACUUGAGUACGGGAGGGGAGAGCGGAAUUCCCAGUGUAGAGGUGAAAUUCGUAGAUAUUGGGAGGAACACCGGUGGCGAAAGCGGCUCUCUGGCCCGAUACUGACACUGAGGUGCGAAGGCGUGGGGAGCAAACAGG
This 253-nucleotide unclassified non-coding RNA is filed under the name uncultured delta proteobacterium. RNAcentral describes it as "contains 16S-23S intergenic spacer region". It matches the Rfam family "Bacterial small subunit ribosomal RNA", at positions 524 to 776 of the family's 1533-position model. Lineage: Bacteria; Deltaproteobacteria. The record is from RNAcentral.